AGAGCACCUAUUAUGGGAUACACGUUUUUAAACAUCCUUUUGUGUGUAAGUGUGCAUUAGUACAUGCUAACGAUAUUCAAAAAGUACAUACCUCAAAGAAAACGAUGACGCGAGUUAUCGUCUCUAACGUUCGAGGACUACAAAAAACACUCGGAUUGUAGGCAACAGUUUACUUCCUGGGAUUAGUGACGUAGAUAAGACCAACAUUAUCAUAGUUCAGCCCUCUCUGCUUUGCUUGGGUACGCCCUCAAAGACGGGGGUGGAGAGCGCUGAGUUAGAAGAGAGCUAAAAUGGCGGAGGUUGUGAGUCCCUGCUUUGACCCUGUUUGCAAACUCUUGUUUCAUCGUUUAAGCGAUUAAAUCUCUCGAGUAGACGCUGUCUCUUUAGAUGCAAGGGCAAAAUAGCACUUUAUGGACUUCCACAGAGGACAUCAUGUUUAAUACGGUUCCGGAAAAAUCCAGUCAGAAGUUGUUCACGGAGUUUUCACAAUAACUGCUUCUCAUGAACCGAAGCUGGACGUCUCCUCCUGAAAGUUGGAUUACUGUGCACUUCUGGAUCACAGGCUAUUCGCAGCUGGACACAUCCUUCUACACUGUAUGCAAACAUGCAACAUCAUAACACACAGUACAAGGAGUCAGACUGGCAUAUGAGGAGCAAAGGAACCCAGACAGUAGCAUCGUUUCACAAUGUUUCCAUCACCAUCAUCAGUGGAUGCCUUUGCCGUCCGUAGCCUGAGAUUUCAGAUUUGCAGCAA
This is a long non-coding RNA of Paramisgurnus dabryanus, 754 nucleotides long. RefSeq lists it as uncharacterized. NCBI's taxonomy places the organism in Eukaryota, Metazoa, Chordata, Actinopteri, Cypriniformes, Cobitidae. The record is from RefSeq and is a predicted model, not a curated record.